Long non-coding RNA from Pipistrellus kuhlii (Kuhl's pipistrelle), 649 nucleotides. RefSeq lists it as uncharacterized. The record is from RefSeq and is a predicted model, not a curated record. The transcript is spliced from 3 exons. NCBI's taxonomy places the organism in Eukaryota, Metazoa, Chordata, Mammalia, Chiroptera, Vespertilionidae.
UGAGACGGGCAGGGAGCCUUGGGGUGAGGCGUGUGGAGUGGGGAGAGGUCUGAGAAUGAAGGCCCCACUUGCUCUCCUUGAUUUAGGAGGUGCCUGUCUGAGGUGUACCCUAAGACGCCGUCCUCCCCGCCCCUCUUAGAAGGAGACGGGCACAUGGUUGGUGCCCUGCCGGUGGGCCCCGGUGGCAUCUGGUGGCGCUGGUUAAGUGCCCUCUGCUGCGGGAACAGAGUUGGCUCCAGACUGGCCGCUGGGAGUUGCUGCCCGAAGAGGUCCGGAGUCUGUCCAUGUCUGGGACGGAAGGCGGAUUCCUAGCCGACCACCGGGAGCCUGGGUUACAGGAAUUUAUGGGACACCUAUGCUGAUUCUCAGUGAAGCAACAGUAUUUACAAGUUGAAGGAAAUGAAGAUACUAAUUUCAAUAUGCUCAUUUCACCCUGAAAACAACCUGUAAGGCCAAGCCAAUUGGACUUUUAACUGACCUCUGUGUUCAACAAAAAAGUCAACUAAUGUCCUGGUAACAGUUGCUGAAGUGUGGAAGAAAAAUGCAGGGAUCCAAAGAAUUGCCCCAUCAAGCUUUUUUAAACUGAGGAAAAAGUUGUUACGGUCCUGAAUGGUCAAAAGAUUGUUGUAAUAUUUUUCCAGGAUGCUGG